This 466-nucleotide ribosomal RNA is filed under the name uncultured bacterium. RNAcentral's name for it is "partial 16S ribosomal RNA". It matches the Rfam family "Bacterial small subunit ribosomal RNA", at positions 28 to 506 of the family's 1533-position model. The record is from RNAcentral.
GACGAACGCUGGCAGCGUGCUUAACACAUGCAAGUCGAACGGAAAGGCCUAGCUUGCUGGGUACUCGAGUGGCGAACGGGUGAGUAACACGUGGGUGAUCUGCCCCUGACUUUGGGAUAAGCCUGGGAAACUGGGUCUAAUACCGGAUAUUCAUUUUUCCUCGCAUGGGGAUUUGUGGAAAGCUUUUGCGGUUGGGGAUGGGCCCGCGGCCUAUCAGCUUGUUGGUGGGGUAAUGGCCUACCAAGGCGACGACGGGUAGCCGACCUGAGAGGGUGAUCGGCCACACUGGGACUGAGACACGGCCCAGACUCCUACGGGAGGCAGCAGUGGGGAAUAUUGCACAAUGGGCGCAAGCCUGAUGCAGCGACGCCGCGUGAGGGAUGACGGCCUUCGGGUUGUAAACCUCUUUCAGCUCCGACGAAGCGCAAGUGACGGUAGGAGCAGAAGAAACACCGGCCAACUACGU